GUUAUCCUACGGGACGCAGCAGUGGGGAAUAUUGCGCAAUGGGCGAAAGCCUGACGCAGCGACGCCGCGUGAGGGAUGAAGGUCUUCGGAUCGUAAACCUCUGUCAGCAGGGAAGAACGGUCACUGUGCUAAUCAGCAGUGAAUUGACGGUACCUGCAAAGGAAGCACCGGCUAACUCCGUGCCAGCAGCCGCGGUAAUACGGAGGGUGCGCGCGUUAAUCGGAAUUACUGGGCGUAAAGCGCUCGUAGGCGGUACGUCAAGCCAAGGGUGAAAUCCCCGCGCUCAACGUGGGAACAGCCU
This 301-nucleotide ribosomal RNA is filed under the name uncultured bacterium. RNAcentral describes it as "bacterial SSU rRNA". It matches the Rfam family "Bacterial small subunit ribosomal RNA", at positions 333 to 626 of the family's 1533-position model. The record is from RNAcentral.